GUCGAUUCGUACACAUCCCGAGAACAAUUCCCCGUGCUUCCGUGGAGCUUGAAAAUCGAGAGACGUUCUCGACGAACGAUUCAACGUUACCUCACCGGUGGACUCUCUGUUUGAAAACACCCUCUUACAAGGUCUAUUUUCUGCAAGUCUGCCAACACUUCUGAACGAAAGUGUACAUAAACACAGUAUCCAAGAGGAAUCAGAGGCAAAGGGUACGGCGUAGGUGAAACACAUGAGAGGAGAGGGAAGGAAAGCAACAAGAUACCAGUUGUCCGUAUAAUCUGUAGAUCUGACCGCGCGUGUUCUGCCCAUGAAUCCCGUGGGUGGUAACCGCCUCGAGGGCCUGAUUUACAGGUGUAACCAGCAAUAACGAUUCACGGGAACGAUCGAAAAAG
Molecule: unclassified non-coding RNA, 395 nt
Filed under: Bombus terrestris (buff-tailed bumblebee)
Lineage: Eukaryota; Metazoa; Arthropoda; Insecta; Hymenoptera; Apidae
Description: misc RNA ENSBTSG00005030026.1
Source: RNAcentral